Mustela lutreola (European mink) is the source of this 932-nucleotide long non-coding RNA. RefSeq lists it as uncharacterized. The transcript is spliced from 2 exons. Lineage: Eukaryota; Metazoa; Chordata; Mammalia; Carnivora; Mustelidae. The record is from RefSeq and is a predicted model, not a curated record.
ACUAAAACUACAAUUCCCAGGAAGCCCAGCGGCGCAGAUCGCGCUGUGUGGCGGGAGUGCCCUCUGAAGUUCCGCCUUCUUCAGCUAGUGAUGGGAGCUUUCCCGCGGAUGGGUAUGGCGGUGAGAGUUCAUUUAAAGCGUCGUCGCCACAGAAAGCGGCUUAGAGACUUAGUCGCCACAGAAAGAGGCAUUUCGCCGUGAGAUGCUGUGCGCCUGACAGAUGCAUCUGUCAUAGUUAAGCCUCUAGGUUUAAGUGUAAUGUUUGAAGAUUUUUGAAUCCUCACUGGUACCGUCCCCCCGCGACAAAAACCUUAAAAAAAAAAAAAAAAUGGCUUCUACUGUUUCCACCCGCAUGUUCGCUGUUGCUCCUGAGGGUGACCGGCGGUGCGGCUUUCUAGAAGAUUCUGAUGAAUAUUUAGCCGCUUUCUCAUUCUCACCGAAAUGAGUUCAAGAUGGUGCAGGUUAAUUGGCUGUUACUGAAACUAGGGUCUGCCAGAGGGAAUUCUGUAAACUGCCCACACAGCGUUUUGUGAGGUGGGAGUGACCCUAACCGACCUCCCUGCGCUUCGGGGAGGUGUUGUACUUCUUGGGCCCUUCACGAAGUAAAGUCCCUUUCUGCCAGAAGGCCCUGUAUCUUUUAAUUUUCAUUAAAAUUUUUUCGAAUUGAGGUGAAAUCCACACAAUGUAAAAGUAACCACUUUAAGGUGUACAAUUAAGUGGCAUUUGGUACAUUCACAAUGCUGUGCAACAAUCACCUCUAUCUAGUUCCAAGUUAUUUUCAUCACCGCAAAAAGAAGAAUUGUUGGCACCUGGAUGACUAAAUCUUCAAGUUACCGUAAAUCAAGAUCACAAGCCAAAAAGUAACAUAGGAAAUAAAAAGGACUGGAUCAUUUUACAGUUUUACUCAGUUUGAUUGCAGAAGUCUAUGUAGG